AUUAGCGGCGGACGGGUGAGUAAUACCUAGGAAUCUGCCUGGUAGUGGGGGACAACGUUUCGAAAGGAACGCUAAUACCGCAUACGUCCUACGGGAGAAAGCAGGGGACCUUCGGGCCUUGCGCUAUCAGAUGAGCCUAGGUCGGAUUAGCUAGUUGGUGGGGUAAUGGCUCACCAAGGCGACGAUCCGUAACUGGUCUGAGAGGAUGAUCAGUCACACUGGAACUGAGACACGGUCCAGACUCCUACGGGAGGCAGCAGUGGGGAAUAUUGGACAAUGGGCGAAAGCCUGAUCCAGCCAUGCCGCGUGUGUGAAGAAGGUCUUCGGAUUGUAAAGCACUUUAAGUUGGGAGGAAGGGCAUUAACCUAAUACGUUAGUGUUUUGACGUUACCGACAGAAUAAGCACCGGCUAACUCUGUGCCAGCAGCCGCGGUAAUACAGAGGGUGCAAGCGUUAAUCGGAAUUACUGGGCGUAAAGCGCGCGUAGGUGGUUCGUUAAGUUGGAUGUGAAAUCCCCGGGCUCAACCUGGGAACUGCAUCCAAAACUGGCGAGCUAGAGUAGGGCAGAGGGUGGUGGAAUUUCCUGUGUAGCGGUGAAAUGC
This 602-nucleotide ribosomal RNA is filed under the name Pseudomonas sp. EECC-15. Its description in RNAcentral is "bacterial SSU rRNA". It matches the Rfam family "Bacterial small subunit ribosomal RNA", at positions 91 to 689 of the family's 1533-position model. The record is from RNAcentral. Lineage: Bacteria; Pseudomonadati; Pseudomonadota; Gammaproteobacteria; Pseudomonadales; Pseudomonadaceae.